This 238-nucleotide ribosomal RNA is filed under the name uncultured bacterium. Its description in RNAcentral is "partial 16S ribosomal RNA". It matches the Rfam family "Bacterial small subunit ribosomal RNA", at positions 96 to 334 of the family's 1533-position model. The record is from RNAcentral.
CGGCGGACGGGUGAGUAACGCGUGGGUAACCUGCCUCAUACAGGGGGAUAACAGUUAGAAAUGACUGCUAAUACCGCAUAAGACCACAGCACCGCAUGGUGCGGGGGUAAAAACUCCGGUGGUAUGAGAUGGACCCGCGUCUGAUUAGCUGGUUGGUGGGGUAACGGCCCACCAAGGCGACGAUCAGUAGCCGGCCUGAGAGGGUGAUCGGCCACAUUGGAACUGAGACACGGUCCAA